This 3202-nucleotide long non-coding RNA is filed under the name Solanum tuberosum (potato). RNAcentral's name for it is "long non-coding RNA (STUB_LNC007040)". The record is from RNAcentral. Lineage: Eukaryota; Viridiplantae; Streptophyta; Magnoliopsida; Solanales; Solanaceae.
AAGACUCUCCAUGACCUUCUUCAAUCUAGCAGUGAUUACUUUUGAUAUAACUUUAUAUAUUGUUGAGCAGCAUGAGAUUGGCCUAAAUUCAUUAAUUCUUGUUGGGUUCUCCACUUUUGGUAUAAGUGUUACAUCAUUACAGGUUAGUACAUCUCACCAGUAUCAAAGAACUUUAAUAUUGCUUGUAUGAUGUCAUCCCACACUAUUGGCCAUGUUCUUUUGAAAACUACAACAUUUAAUCCAUCUAUUCCUGGAGCUUUUAGAUCAUUGAUGCUUUGCAAAGCUAUUUCCAUUUCUAUCCUUGUUACUUGGGCUGCUAGCUGAAUCUGUUGAUCUUUCCUCCCCUUCUCAUUAUAGUGGUAUCUACACUUGGUAGACAUGAAGCAGCCUGUCCAAGUAAUCCCUGAUAGAAUUUGAGUGCCUUUUCCUCAAUGUCCUUCUUGGAAUAUAUUAUUGUACCUGCAUCAGUAGUAAGAUUAGUGAUAAUAUUUUGUGCCAGUCUAUUUUUCAUAUGGGCAAAGAAGUAUCCUGUAUUAGCAUCCCCUAGAUUCAACCAUUGCACCCUGGAUUUCUGCCUUAUGGCACUUUCCUCCACCAGACUCCAUUUCUCUAGCUGCUUCCUCAGUUCCCUUUCUUGUUCCCUAUUAGCAUGUACCAUAUUAUGAUCUAUCAUCUAUGUUUGGACUGUAUACAGUUGUUCUCUGAUGUGCUUGGUUUUGUCCUUCACACCUUUGAAUUUCGAAUUGUUCAAUUCUUUCAACUCGAUUUUCACCUUUCUAAGCUUUCACCAAAUUGUCUUCAUGUCUCCUCUUUUAUGUCCUUGCCAAGCUUGUUCAAACUAUUUGAAGGAAUUUAGGGUGAUCUGCUAUGCAAUUAAAGAACCUAAAUGCUUUGUCAGUGUUCUUGCAGCUUGUGUCCAGACCCAGACUCAGAGGGGAGUGAUCCGACAUUCCUGGCCUUAAAAUCCUUACCUCCAUGACUGACAUUUGAAGCAUCCAUUCAGCAUUUACUAUAGCCCUAUCAAUCCUGCUAUAAGUGUGCCCAUUAGUUCAAGUAUAAGUGCCACCAACUGUUGUCAAUUCAUUCAUCCCAGCAUCUAGUAUAAAUUCAUUGAAAUCUUUAACUUCUAUAUCCUACACUAGACUACCUUGGGGUCUAUCCUCUGGCUUUAGUCCGAAUUAUUUUUACUAUAGUGAAAAAAAUAUAAACAUUUUUUGGAGUUCUGCUUUCUUUUUUUAUGAUUAUUUUUAUCAAAAAUAUAGUCCUUUGAAUCAAAGUUUAUUUGGUAUGGCUCUUGGCUUUUGGUUAUCAGUCAAAAGAGUAAAAAGUUAAAAUUUACAAAUUCCAAUCUAUAAUGUUUAACUUAUUGUUAUUAUUUCAGUUUAAAAUCUUAUAUUUAUAAAUAUAUUUUUUAAUAUCAAAAUACUCUAAAAAUUAACCCUUCACAACAUAAAUUAAAUUAUCGAGUCUUUGUAAUAUAUAACAAUAUUUUAACUUUAAACACAAAUAAGACUAUUUAAACAUGCUCUUACUUUUCUAUAAGAAUUUCUGAAAUAGUGAUCGGGCUUUUUUUUUUUUUUUGUUUAAAGAAAAGUAACAAAAACAAAUAUAAUAUUCCUUCUGUCUUUUUUACGUAACACCCUUUCUUUUUUAGUAUGUUCUAAGAAAAUAUUACCUUAUUAUAAUUUUAAAAAGUUUAAUUUAAAAAAAAUCACCCUUAAUAAAAUGAUUUGCGACUAAACAAUAUUAAAGAAUUAUCUUAAAUCACACACUUUAAAAAAUAUAUAUAUAUCAUAUCAAAAUUAAACAAUAUCACAUUAAAUGAGAUAGAAGAUUCGUGUUUUCCUCAAUAUUGGAGAGAGGUCUUCAAGUUGUUUUGUUUUGUGCUGUCUAUUCUCGUUUUCCGCAAUUGUUUCCGACUAGUGAGAGGUGGACAGACACAAUUGCUUCAUAUCUUAAGGCAAAUAAAUCUUAACUACAAAAUGAAAACCAAAAAGAGUAAAAAUAGAGUGCAUUCUCGAUCCGCCUUUACGUGAUACAUUUAUUUUUUUUAAAAAUCAUCUAAAGAAAAUAGCGAGAUUUCUUUUAUUAUAUAUAUUUAAAAUGCCGUAACUCUAAAAAGAAUAACUCUUGAUGAAAAUUAGGAUUUUUUUGUCUUCACAAACUAUUUAACAAAAUCUAAUUGUUGGAUUUUUAAUAAGAAUUAUGAAAAGAAAGUUUUAAGAUGAACUAGUAUUUGAAGGUGUAACUUUUACUAUUAGUGACCUAUUUUUUAAAGGGAAAAAGGUCAAAUAUGCCCCUAAACUAUUCGAAAAUGUCUAAAUAUACCUCUCAUUUAAAGUUUGGCCUACUCGUGUCCUCGCUAUCCAACUUUUGGCAUAGAUAUGCCCUUAUGGGCGUUUUUUGGUCUGCUGGAAAUAUCCAACUCAUUUUACAUUUCUUUAAAUGCCAAAUGGAAUUGCCACGUCAUUUUUACAUUACCACAUGACAUUUAUAUUAAAAGGGAAAGGGGUCAACCUAAACUAUUUGGAGCUCUUUUAAAACACCUAUCCGACCCAUAACAAAGGGGUCAAUUAUGCCCCUAAUCCGACCCAUAAAUCAACCCCUCUUUCAGGGCUUUGAUUGGGUUCUUUCGGAUCGGAGGAAAAGCGAACCGAAUCAACGAUGUUCUUGGUAGAUUGGUUCUAUGGAAUUCUGGCAACCCUUGGUUUAUGGCAGAAGGAGGCUAAGAUCUUGUUUUUUGGGUCUCGAUAAUGCCGGAAAGAUCACCUUGCUCCAUAUGUUGAAAGAUGAGGUCUCUUACCGUUUUCUCCCCUUUAGAUAUGUUUUAUCAUAUAAUUUGUGUCGUUUAAAUUCUUUUAAUUACAUAUGUACAUGUGAUUAUUUGUAUGAGAAUCGGUGAAGAAAUGGAGAUUCAUCUGAUUUCCUGAAUUCUCCCAUUUUCACCUGAAAUGGAAUUUCUCUUGAUAUGGCUUUAUGGAUCUUAGAUCUUUAUGAAGAAAGAGUUACAAGUUUGAUUAGUUUGAAAAGGCCUGUUUUUUCUGCUAUUGGUUACUUGUAAUCUUGAAUCUGAGAUUGAAACUUUAUUGAAUUUGUGGCAGAAAUUGGUUCAACAUCAGCCAACACAAUACCCAACGUCAGAGGAGCUUAGUAUUGGAAAGAUCAAGUUCAAAGAGGGGUUGAUUUAUGGGUUAGAUUAGGG